UGAAGAGUAGUAGAAGUUACAAGCACAGAGUGUUAGGGCUCAGAUACACCAAUAGCGUUUGCUGGCCGAGAAUAUUUAGCACCUCUGAACGAAAUUUGAGAACCGAGUGCGCACCGAUUUUACAUUUGGAAUUGUGUGAAAAAUAUUGACAGAUGAAACAGAAGAAUGCUAGAUCCACAUUCAAUGUGUGUGAGCCUUAGUUACCAUUGCUUGUACCUCUGUGUUGGGAGUGUGGCCUGGUGAGCUAUUUAAAACAUACUCCAAUUGACAAACUGGCCUGUCUGAGAGUUAACAAUAACAGACAGGUGCUGUUACCCAGGUACAGUGAAUUGUUGAUGAUUUUCACGGAGCACAUGAUGCAAGCGGUAGGUUCCUUGGAACACACGUACAUGCACAUACUGUCAUUUGUUCUGGUCUGCAUUGUCUGGCAUUACAAAAUGUCUCCCCUUUUCCGAACUUUUCUUUAAUGUAAUAAGUGCUACUUCCAACCUCAAUUGUAAGACCAGAAAUGAGCCUAUAUGUUAUGGAUUAGGCCUUAUAAAUACUCCAGAACAUUAACCAUCCACAGAGUAGAAUGUUAAACAGCCCUACAACAAACAUAACACUGUACCCCAAAAUGUGCGAUUACGGGUAGUGUUUAUAACGGGUCGUAAACUAGAUUCAGCCGAUAGCCGAAUUUUGUCGGAGUGGAUGGUCUGGGGCCGGAACAUAAUUAUAGUCAUUUGUUCACUUCAAACUGACCACAAGUCAGCCAAAAAAUAGAUUGUUAUUUUCAAAUACAAUAAUUUCAUGCCUUGAUUACAUUGAGACACAAUCACGCCUAAUUUUUUAAAAUAAAUUGGAAUACUUGGGAAUAGAUUUCCUAAAUGACAUUUUGGGGGGGGCUGGUGAUUUUAGUCUUUUUUUUAAAACUGAAAACCGCCAAACUACUCUGGGGAGCCCCAAAAAAAUCACUAAUGAGCCUGUUGCUGACCCCUGGUAUAUAACAAUAUGUAACCUAUUAUAUGUAUUUAUUUUUCAAAUCUUUUUUUGCAAAGUAUUGGCUGUUUUUUUUUGUGUGUAUUUUUACUUGUAUGUUUCUCUUUUAGAGAAACUGUACUUUCAAGUAAUGCUGUUUGGCCUGAUGAUUUAUUAAUUAUAAAAUUAUUAUUUUUGUAAAAUGUUUUAAUGUAACUCUUAGUAGAUAAAAUGAGUCCCAUCUUGUUGUAGUAUACAUAAUAUCUCUUUCUAUUUUGGAAUAAGCCCAUAAAUAGCCUUUCUUUUGAAUUGAUUCAUAUUUAUUUCAGAAUAAUUGUAACUUGUUUCCUUUUAUGUUAAUCCUAUUUUUUUAUAUGAUCUGGCUUUUACCAUUCAGUUUUUCUUUUAAUUCAACUUAUAUUAUAGGGAAACAUUCCCUGGUCUAUAUUUUAAAUUGUGUGCAAUUUCUCCAGGCCUUGGUUGAAGUUUUGGUGAAGAAAAAGCCUAUGUGCCCUCUCUCCUCUGAAGACGGUUGAGAAGAAGGGAGGGGUUUAGACAAAGGCCUUCUCUACAAAAAUGGAGGUUACAACAGAGCAGCCCUGCUGUCUGUUUUUCAUUUAGUAGAUGCUGCCAUUUCUACUAUAUAAUCUGUGAAAAUAACAUAACUUGCACCAGAUGCAACCUUAGGAAACAGUAUUACAUUGUUGUGUGUGUGUUAUUUUGUGAUUUGGGCCUAGCUCUCUCUCUCUUUUUAUCUCCAUGUCUCUCCUGCACUCAGAGCUGCUCCUGCUUGCGCUGAACAAAGAUAAUUACUCAGGAAACCCUUCGGCCAAUCGGAUGCGGUCUUACAUCCCGCCUGUGACAAAGGGGCCAGUCAGGGCCUGGCUACCAUCAGACAGGCCUGAUCGCCUUGCCUGAAGAACGGAGCCUUCCCCGGCUGAGAGUGUCCUCCAUGUUUUAUAAGUGUUGCCAUAACAGUGUGUCAGGAUAGCCAUGCAUCCACAGAGUCUGGCUGAGGACGAGGUACAGACGGAGUCGGAUGUGGUAGAGGGGAUGGAUGUGGCACUGCGAUCCAAAGUGUCUGACCCCGGGUCAGCAGAGCGGGUGCUGGCGACUCAGAAGAGGAAGGUGUCCAGCCCAACCCACUCCUCCAACGGCCACUACCCCUCAGACACCUCCCCCAGCCCCUUGAAGAAGAAGAAAAAACCUGGAGCCGUCCACAGCAACAACAAAGACCAGGACAGCAGGAAUGACUUCUACUGCUGGCUGUGCCACCGCGAGGGCCAGGUGCUCUGCUGUGAGCUCUGCCCGAGGGUGUACCACGCCAAGUGCCUCAAACUGCCAGCAGAGCCCGAGGGUGACUGGUUCUGUCCAGAGUGUGAGAAAAUCACAGUAGCAGAGUGCAUAGAGACACAGAGCAAGGCCAUGACUAUGCUAACGAUAGACCAGCUGUCCUACCUGCUGAAGUUUGCCCUCCAGAAGAUGAAACAGCCGGGGACUGAGCCCUUCUGGAAGCCUGUGGCUCUGGAGCAGCACCCUGACUAUGCUGAGUACAUAUACCACCCAAUGGACCUCGCAACACUAGAGAAGAAUAUGAAAAAGAAAAUGUAUGGCUGCACAGAAUCCUUUUUGGCUGACAUGAAAUGGAUCUUACACAACUGCAUCAUCUACAAUGGAGGAAAUCACAAACUAACAGCAACAGCAAAGGUUGUUGUGAAGAUCUGUGAACAUGAAGUGAAUGAAAUUGAGGUCUGUCCGGAGUGCUACCUGUCCUCGUGCCAAAAGAGGGACAACUGGUUUUGCGAGCCAUGUGGUCACCCACACCCCCUGGUAUGGGCAAAGUUGAAGGGCUUCCCCUUCUGGCCAGCCAAAGCACUACGGGAGAAGGAUGGACAGGUGGACGCACGCUUCUUUGGACAGCAUGACCGGGCGUGGGUUCCCAUUAACAAUUGCUACCUCAUUUCCAAGGAGAUUCCCUUCUCUGUGAAGAAGACCAAGAGCAUCUUCAACAGCGCCAUGCAGGAGAUGGAGGUCUAUGUGGAGAACAUCCGCAAGAAGUUUGGGGUGUUCAACUACGCCCCCUUCCGCACCCCCUACACGCCCAACAACCAGCUUCAGAUGCUGCUGGACCCAGCCAACCCCGACGCAGGGACCGUGAAGACGGAGAAACCUGACAAGAUGCGCUUCAACUUCGACAUGACCGCAUCUCCCAAGAUGCUCUUGGGCAAGAGCUCUCUGUCGAGCGGGAUGGGGCGGAGGAUCUCUCUCACGGACAUGCCUCGCUCUCCCAUGAGCACCAACUCGUCUGUACACACAGGUUCUGACGUGGAGCAGGAUGGGAUGGAGAGAGGGCCUAGGAACCCCCCAUUCCACUACAGCGCUGGGGAGGAUUCUAUGGACUAUACUGCAUCCCCUGCCUCAGUGAAGAUGGGCCAUGCAGGCAGCAUGACGGGCAGCCCCAAGCCCUUCUCCCCUGGUCUGGUGCCCAAACAGGAGAGGGCCCCAGGCACAGGCAGCAUCCUCAAUCUCAACCUGGAUCGUGUGAAGGCUGAGAUGGACCUGAAGGAGCUCAGUGAGACAGUACAGCAUCAACAACAACAACAGGGGUCAUCACUCCUCCUCACCACCCCCAAGAGACCCAUGAGGAGCCUGGACAAGACCAUCGAGAGCUGCAAGGCCCAACUAGGCAUUGAUGAGAUCUCUGAGGAUGUAUAUAAGGGCGUGGAACACAGUGACUCUGAGGAUUCUGAAAAGUCAGACUCCAGCAACAGCGAGUACAUUAGCGACGAGGAUCACAGACCGAAGAGCGCCGCCCAUGACAACAAGGACAAAGCAGAGAGGGAGUCUAGAAAGAGGCCCAAGGCAAGCACACCGGUAGAGGACAAGGGGGCAGUCACAGGGACCAGGGAUAAAAAAAACUCUGAAGCCCUGCUCAAAGACAGACAUGGCAGCAAUGGUCCAGAGAGAGAUUCCCGGGAGAAGCCCACGACUCCCCAGACUCAGCCCCCCACAGACAGGCCCAAGGCCCUAGAGGUGGGUAGGGCAGGCGCACCCCGGGCCCUUGCUGGCCCAGACCAGGACUCCGACUCAGAGAGGGAGCUGGUGAUUGACCUGGGGGAUGAGCAGGGGGGGCAGAGACCGUAAGAGAGCCAGGAGGGAGCCAGGGUCUGUAGCCGCUAAGCCCACGAAGGAGCCCCCUGGCACCAAGCUGGAAGCCCCUCAUCAACCCCACACUCAACCUGUCCUCUAGCCAGCCCAACACGGCCUUCACCACCCCCCCCCUGCAGCUCCCACCCCAGCCACCACCCUCUCCUCCACAGCUGCCUCAGCCCAGUCGGCAGCGAAGAAACAGCGCCCCCUGCUGCCCAAAGAGACAGCUCAGGCAGUGCAGAGGGCAGUGGUGUGGAACCCCGCCAACAAGUUCCAGACGUCCUCCCAGAAGUGGCCCAUGCAGCAGGAGGAGCAGCCGACACGCAGCCCACAGCAGGUCCAGUCACAGCAGCAGUUGCAGGCAUCCUCCAGUACACGUUACCAGACCAGACAGGCAGCAAAAGCCGUGCAGCCUAAAGAUGGUCCCCAGACCUCAACCUCAUCAGUUACCUUGGUCACCUCUGGUGCCUCCUCCACCUCUUCCUCCUCUUACCUGGCAGGAGACUUCCAGAUCCCCACAGCUUCAGCAGAUGUGGCAGCUGACAUCGCAAAGUACACCAGCAAAAUGAUGGACACGAUUAAAGGGACGAUGACAGAAAUCUACAACGACCUUUCCAAAAGCACUUCAGGAAACACAAUUGCAGAGAUCCGGCGGCUGAGGAUAGAGAUAGAGAAGCUUCAGUGGCUACAUCAGCAAGAGCUGUCGGAGAUGAAACACAAUCUUGAGCUGACUAUGGCAGAGAUGAGGCAGAGUCUGGAGCAGGAGAGGGAGCGUCUGGUGGCGGAGGUGAAGAAGCAGAUGGAGGUGGAGAAACUGCAGGCAGUGGAUGAGACCAAGAAGAAGCAGUGGUGUGCGAACUGCAGGAAGGAGGCCAUCUUCUACUGCUGCUGGAACACCAGCUACUGUGACUACCCCUGCCAGCAAGCCCACUGGCCAGAACACAUGAAGUCCUGCACACAGUCAGCAACAGCUUCUCAACAGGAACCAGAGGUGGAGUCAACCUCUGAACCCUCAGCCAAACCACCAGGUCCCUCUUCCAGCGACCAGCCCCCCCUCUGGUAUAGCAUCUGCCCCCACAGACAAAGGCUCCUCUCCUACCUGCAGCGUGGACAAGUGCAAGGACAGGGCCUCUGUUACUGUGCCCUAACCACUACACUGCACUCACACAUUUUUACUCUACAAUCCUACAUUCUGUUAAAUGUAUGUAUCUGUCGGAAAGGGACUAGAGGAUAUGUACAAUAGACCAAAUCUCUCUGCGACCAACUAAUCUGGGAAUGUCGAGCGAAUCUCAGUAUGACCACAGAGGCAAUUAAACCACCAAACACCCUCAACCUCUCCUAGUCAGGCUCAGGGCUUUUAAAUGCCAUGGACACUCUUUGCAUGAAGGCCUGCUCCUCUGUGAUUCAGCUGACUUGUCCCGUCUCGAUUUGUUUAAUGUCUGCUUCGUGAUCUGAUAUUUCAAGCCAUCUUUCAUCCUCUUCAAAGUCUGUGCCCUAGACUGAAGGAGUUACUUACCUUGUCCUUGUGACUGUAUUUCAUCUGGAUGUAAUACAUUUUCAUUACCUCUCACCUCCUUUCAUCCCCAUUUGAUGUCCCUCUCACCACCUACCUUAACGAUAUAGGUAUCUACAGGAGAGCCCAUCAAAAUAUCAGACAUCAAAGUUUUCUGUAUUCUGACAGCACUCUUAAAGGAAAACUCCACCCCAAAACUAUCUUCUGGUAUUUGUUUCAUUAGCCCAUGGUUUAUAUAGUCCCAAAAUGUUUUGCAUGUCAGCAAUCAAGUUUAAGAUAUGUAAAUCUUAAAAUACAGAAAUACAGCCAGUAUGAUGCUGCGUAUUGCAUCAUUUGGGUGGAAUUUUCCUUUAGACAAUCUUAAACUGUGAUGCUGCUCUUUAAAAUAUACCCCAAGUCUUUAUAGUUAUUUGCCGACGGAAGUGAAACGGCACAUUAUUGUGCCAGCCAUUUUUGGGACAUCCAACAGAUUUAAAAUAUAAAUUCUACAUUGUCAAUACAGUUUAAAAUAUUUCAUAAUUUACUAAAUUGUCAUUAAGUUAUCAAACCCUCCCCCUGUGUGUGCAUUAUUGGUUCAUACUCAUAUUAUAUAGUAAUUCAGUGUUUACAUAGAAUUUAACCAACUGUGAUGUAUAAAAAUAAAAAAACAUAAUGGCUAAAACUGUACAAUGUUUUUGUAAGAAGACACAUGGACGAUAUUUAUAGUGCUUACAACAAGCAUAUGAGGUUCUCUUUUUUUAUAUCACUGUUUGUGAAUGUUCAAAAUGUCUUGAAACAGCUCGACUCUGGAAAACAGUUGUAUUUGAAAAUGCAUUAUAAGACUUCCUAUGAAUGUCACUAGGACCCUCUGUUCAGACUGUCAGAUCUAUUUCUCGCGUCUACCUUCGUUUUUGUGGUUACUUCGGACUAUGAUAAAGCGUGUUGGAGGGUAAAGGAAACUACAAAAGUUAUUAUUAUACUGAGCAUGUUUAUUUGUCCCCUUUUUUGUCUCACGUGCUCUUGUUUACAUAUUGUACAUACAGUAAAUGGAUUGUUAAUGUCUUAAAGAAAACAAUUAAAACGGGUCUGACCAA
RNA transcript from Oncorhynchus gorbuscha (pink salmon), 6693 nucleotides. It is a transcript of the gene named protein kinase C-binding protein 1-like, with no coding region annotated. The transcript is spliced from 21 exons. NCBI's taxonomy places the organism in Eukaryota, Metazoa, Chordata, Actinopteri, Salmoniformes, Salmonidae. The record is from RefSeq and is a predicted model, not a curated record.